This 397-nucleotide long non-coding RNA is filed under the name Manihot esculenta (cassava). RNAcentral's name for it is "long non-coding RNA (MESC_LNC008764)". Lineage: Eukaryota; Viridiplantae; Streptophyta; Magnoliopsida; Malpighiales; Euphorbiaceae. The record is from RNAcentral.
UGGCGUCAAGAUCAUGAGGGAUCCCGUAGGAUCUUUCAGACCUAAGGCAAGUAUAUACUAGGCUACACGUCUGGGUGUUAUCCCCAUUACUCAAGGAUUUUCAAGAUAUUUACUACCAACAUGAUGGACGGGUGUUAACCCUUAGCGAUCCUUUAACAAGAAUAAAUUGUUUUAAGUUUUGAAAAAAAAGACUGUAAAUGAACAAGGUGUGCAGACACUCGAAAAUAAAAUAAUAAACUUUCAUUAAAAAAAAAAAGAUUACAUAGGAGGAAUGAUAUUUUCAGAUUCCUCCUGAGUCUCCACCACAUCAGUGUUUUCCACAUAUAUUACAUUAUAUUUAGAGACUCAGUCAGUAGGAGUAUCUUCAGCACGCUCCCCCUCCUCUGCGAUCUCACCC